UUACAUUGAAGCCUAGCGAUAUGUAAGUUAGUGGCGGACGGGUGAGUAACGCGUGGGUAACCUGCCUUGGUACUGGGGGACAACAGUUGGAAACGACUGCUAAUACCGCAUAAGCCCACGGCUCGGCAUCGAGCAGGGGGAAAAGGAGCAAUCCGCUUUGAGAUGGCCUCGCGUCCGAUUAGCUAGUUGGUGAGGUAAUGACCCACCAAGGCGACGAUCGGUAGCCGGACUGAGAGGUUGAACGGCCACAUUGGGACUGAGACACGGCCCAGACUCC
RNAcentral lists this ribosomal RNA (277 nucleotides) under uncultured Faecalibacterium sp. RNAcentral describes it as "partial 16S ribosomal RNA". It matches the Rfam family "Bacterial small subunit ribosomal RNA", at positions 52 to 339 of the family's 1533-position model. The record is from RNAcentral. Lineage: Bacteria; Bacillati; Bacillota; Clostridia; Eubacteriales; Oscillospiraceae.